Molecule: ribosomal RNA, 253 nt
Filed under: uncultured bacterium
Lineage: Bacteria
Description: partial 16S ribosomal RNA
Rfam family: Bacterial small subunit ribosomal RNA
Source: RNAcentral
UACAGAGGGGGCAAGCGUUGUUCGGAAUUACUGGGCGUAAAGGGCGCGUAGGCGGCCCGCUAAGUCGAACGUGAAAUCCCCGAGCUCAACUCGGGAACUGCGUCCGAUACUGGCGGGCUUGAAUCCGGGAGAGGGAUGCGGAAUUCCAGGUGUAGCGGUGAAAUGCGUAGAUAUCUGGAGGAACACCGGUGGCGAAGGCGGCAUCCUGGACCGGCAUUGAUGCUGAGGCGCGAAAGCUAGGGGAGCAAACAGG